CUUGGUCAUUUAGAGGAAGUAAAAGUAGUAACAAGGUCUCCGUUGGUGAACCAGCGGAGGGAUCAUUACAGGGUUGCAAAACUCCCAACCCUUUGUGAACGAACCUACCAGUUGCCUCGGCGGCGAGCCUUUCAGGCGGACCGCCGGAGGAAUACAAACUCUUUGCAUUUUAACAUCUCUGAUUACUUAUUCAAUAAGUUAAAACUUUCAACAACGGAUCUCUUGGUUCUGGCAUCGAUGAAGAACGCAGCGAAAUGCGAUAAGUAAUGUGAAUUGCAGAAUUCAGUGAAUCAUCGAAUCUUUGAACGCACAUUGCGCCCGCUAGUAUUCUGGCGGGCAUGCCUGUUCGAGCGUCAUUUCAACCAUCAAGCCCUAGGCUUGCGUUGGAGCCCUGCGGCCGCCGCAGCCUCCUAAAACCAGUGGCGGGCUCGCUAUCACACCGAGUGCAGUAGUUUACUCUUCGCUCAGGGCGUGUGGCGGGUGCUGGCCGUAAAACCCCCUACUUCUUAAGGUUGACCUCGGAUCAGGUAGGAAUACCCGCUGAACUUAAGCAUAUCAAUAAGCGGAGGA
This 570-nucleotide ribosomal RNA is filed under the name uncultured Ascomycota. Its description in RNAcentral is "eukaryotic LSU rRNA". The stretch from base 203 to 356 matches the Rfam family "5.8S ribosomal RNA". Lineage: Eukaryota; Fungi; Ascomycota. The record is from RNAcentral.